GUGAAGGAAAUGAACAUGAUUCAGCACAAGAGCCGAUCAGGAAUGUGGAGGCCAGACUCUCCCAUCAGGCUCCGCUCCCCUCCCGCCACCUCGGCAGAGGCCCCAGACUGCACCUGCCGGAUGGGAUCCCGUAGUGCCACAGAGCCUGGGCACCAUGCCACUCCUCUCUCCAAGAACACCACCGCCUGGCAGGCUGCCAGGAACAGCCAAGCCCUGUGGACAUCACUCCCAGAAAUCCAACCACACGGAAAGCAAACGUGCUGUGUCUCAUGACAGUACUAACAAGCCUGGUAAAUCAGCCCACAGUUGCACAGCCGUAGCUGGGGAAUCCAAGUGCUUUCUGAGGACACACUGACGACAGCAGCAGACACACACGCGUACGCACAUCUUCACGGCACACAGACUCACUAAGGUAUGCCACGAGCCUACAGGUUUUCAAUACCAUACAGUGGAUAACAGUGGUGGUGGUGGGUCUCCGCCCUCAGGAAGCACUUGACCUUAUCUGACAAACAAAAGGAACAUCAGGGAAAAACUCUGCAUGGAUUGAAUGCCUCCCAGUGUGGCAGGAACUAAGAGCCACAUGGAUCUCUGAGCUUCGGCUGACAUGCCCAGGAAGGUGGCCCUGGAAAGGUAGUAACGACCUGUCCAGUCUCCACAUCUCCAGGGAGUCUCCAGGUGUCUGUCCAUUGCUCAGCUCCACUUGAGGGGGGCUCAUGGUUGAGGAUCUGCUGAAGUUAGUCAGGGGAGAGGAAACAGUCUCCUCCUUGAACUACAAUCCAGGAUGCCUCCCAGGCGAGUGAAGGACCUAGGGACUGGAAUCUCAUUGGCCCCAGGGCUGUGCCCCUGGACUCGCUCUCGGGAAGCCAAGCCAGGUCCAACUGAUAACCGCAUUCCUUGAGGACCCUCGGCCGGGAGUGACUGCCAGUGGGCAGACAGGAAGAAAAGAGCCCUGGCCCAGAUCAGGCAGGCAUCCCUGCUUCCCCGCCCACCGACUGUCCCCGGAGACCAGCCUCCUUCUCUGCCUGCGGAGGAGAGCAGUGGGGACAUUAUGCCAACAGGUCCCCUUCGGCGGGCCUCACCCGGCCAGCCUUCCUCCGCCCUGCCCUGAGGCCCCACAUUCAGCGGAAGCGCCGAGGCACCUGCUGCCAGACAGGGCUCCAUCCCCGCGGAAGGGGCCCCUGGGCGGUGCCCCUCGGUGCCCCCGGCUUCCUCGGUUAGGGAUG
This 1223-nucleotide long non-coding RNA is filed under the name Homo sapiens (human). RNAcentral's name for it is "HSALNT0388786". The record is from RNAcentral. Lineage: Eukaryota; Metazoa; Chordata; Mammalia; Primates; Hominidae.